AUACCUUUCUCGGCCUUUUGGCUAAGAUCAAGUGUAGUGUCUGUUCUUAUUAGUUUAAUAUUUGAUAUGUGAACCAUCGGUUCACACGAUAUUAAUUCAAUUUUUUAAGAGGAAGAGUCUAUCAAGGUAGCUUGCUAUUUGGGCUCUUGAGUGUCGCCCAUGUGUUGCACUAUAUCAUGGGCCUGGCGCACCCCAC
Lycium barbarum (goji berry) is the source of this 196-nucleotide small nuclear RNA. RefSeq annotates it as U2 spliceosomal RNA. The transcript has a single exon. Lineage: Eukaryota; Viridiplantae; Streptophyta; Magnoliopsida; Solanales; Solanaceae. The record is from RefSeq and is a predicted model, not a curated record.